This is an RNA transcript of Hemicordylus capensis (graceful crag lizard), 6538 nucleotides long. It is a transcript of the gene named GEN1 Holliday junction 5' flap endonuclease, with no coding region annotated. The record is from RefSeq and is a predicted model, not a curated record. NCBI's taxonomy places the organism in Eukaryota, Metazoa, Chordata, Lepidosauria, Squamata, Cordylidae. The transcript has 19 exons.
ACGAAUUUUGGCGUUUGCUUUGAAUUGCUCCGGUCCGGUGUCGGCUAGAAAAGGCAGGUGAUAUUACGGUGCUAUAUACGUGAAGAGGUUGCGUGAGAUUCGUCUCCCAGCGCUUUUCUCCUAAGGUGGAAUCCCAUAUUAAAAGCUUGUCUUGCAAUCAUGUAACGUAGUAGAGUUACAUGAGUUACAAUCCUGCGUAUGCUGAAUCGGAAGAGCAGGAAGUGCUGAGACAUUUAGCAGUGGGAUAUGGCAAAGAAGAAAGAGAUGGCAGCAAAUUAGGCUACUAGUGAAUAAACUGUUAUAAGAGAGUGGAGAGGGGUGAAGUGAGGAAAAUCGCAAGGGGGAGAGUGGAUCAUCAAAGGCAAAAGCGAGUGCUCUUGUGCUGCCUGAAUAUUUGGGACAAUGGGAGUGACUAGUUUGUGGCAGAUCCUGGAACCUGUAAAACAACACGUCCCCCUCAGCAGUCUUAGAGGAAAGAGGCUAGCUGUUGACUUGAGUCUCUGGGUAUGUGAAGCACAGACAGUCAAAAAGAUGGUUGGAGUAGUCACAAAACCUCAUCUUAGGAAUCUUUAUUUUCGAGUCUCUUCUUUAACACUAAUGGGGGUCCAUCUGGUAUUUAUCAUGGAGGGAGAUCCCCCAAAGCUGAAAGCAAACACAAUGCAUAAGAGGACAGAGAUUCGCUUUGGACUACCCAAGAAAUCUGGAGCAAGAAGAACAGGAAGAUCACAUUUUAAAUCUCUGUUGAAAGAGUGCCUUGAAAUGCUGGAGUGCUUAGGAGUCCCUUGGCUUCAAGCAGCUGGUGAAGCAGAGGCCAUGUGUGCUUAUCUGAAUGCUAAUGGGUUUGUGGAUGGCUGCAUCACUAAUGAUGGGGAUGCCUUCCUUUAUGGUGCCCAAACAGUUUACCGGAAUUUUACAAUGAAUGCAAAGGACCCACAUGUUGACUGCUAUUCAAUAUCUGCUAUUGAGGAGACGCUAGGCUGCAGCAGAGAGUCUCUGAUUGGAUUAGCAAUUCUGCUUGGAUGUGAUUAUCUUCCUAAGGGAGUUCCUGGAGUUGGGAAAGAACAAGCUUUAAAGUUGAUUAGGACUUUGAGAGGGGAGAGCUUACUGCAAAGGUUUGAUCACUGGAAAAACCAAUUCCAAUAUGAUGAUAUCCCAGCUACAGCAGUUAAAAAGGUGAUUCACUGUGCUGUGUGCCGCCAUCCAGGUUCACGUAAAGAUCAUGAGCGCACUGGAUGUCAACUUUGCAAAAGUGUGGGAUACUGUGAGCCCCAUGAUGCUGAAUACUGCUGCCCUUGUGACUGGCACACCUCUGAGCAAAACCGACAAGCCAACUCAGUGGAGGAUAGUAUUAGGAAAAAAGCUAAGGCAUGUGAAGGCUUUCCAUUUCCUGAGGUUAUCCAAGAGUAUAUCAUCAGCAAAGAUAAGCAGAUGAAGCUAAAUGCAUGCCAAAGACCAAAUUUAUUGUCCUUUCAGAAAUUUGCUUUUGAGAAAAUGGACUGGACCAAGCAUUAUGCCUGUGAGAAAUUGUGUGCCCUUUUGACUUAUUAUGACAUGAAUAAAAGGAAAUCUGGUCAUACCAGCCCACAGGACCUGCAGGCACUACGGAUAAUCAGGACACGAACAAAAAAUGGAAUUCCUUGUUUUGAAAUUGAGUGGCAAAAACCAGAACAUUACACUACAGAAGCAGAUCAACCUAUGGAAUCUUUUUUAAUAACAGUAGAAGACUCUGAGUUGUUUCAGGCUGCAUACCCAGAAAUAGUUGCCCUAUAUCAAAUGAAGAAGCUGGAAAUUUGCAAGAGAAAAAAGAAAGGUAAGAAGACUGAACUGAAAGAGAGUGAGUGCUCAGCUGAAGACAAAGAAGUUGCAGAUCUCUUUUCCCGGCUAAAUUUGCAAUCUGCACAUGAAACCUUUCCAGAUCAUGAACCCAAGUUUGGUUUUGAAAUGGUUUCCAAUUGUCAGAUGUUGCCAAAAAAUGUCUCCAAAUCUCAGGAUCCAUUUGCAGCUAUAAACCUUUCCAGCACAGUUUUGCAAAAUCAAAACCCACCAGAUUCCUUGCUCGUAACUGCUUCACAAAACCCAGGAAAUGAAUGCCAUUCUGGUAGUUCUUUGGGCCCACAAGCAGAAUGUAUGAAGCAGAACACAGACUGUUGUGACUCUUCUGUGAUUGCUGACCUACAGUUGAGUGGCCUUGACUGGGAAGGUACAUCCUUCAGUUUUUCUCCUAUGCAUGUUAAUGUUGCUUGUUUAGAAUCUGAUUUGGGCACUAGUAGUAUUUCUACAAGACAACAUUCUCCACUGUUCUAUAAAACAGCAGAAAGACCAUAUUUGGAUUCUGUACAGUGUGAUAAAGAUCCACCCCGUAGUGCAACCUGCUUUGUUUCAAACGAUGACUUUCCUAAAAGACAACAUCAUCUGCAUUUAAAAGAUCAAGCAGUUCUCAAACUUUCUGCUUCUGAAGCCUUCUCCAAGUUUCAAAGUGUGUCUCUAGGAAAGCCUUUGCAAGUAGCAAAACAAAUGAAGAGAACGUCUAGCCCAGAGGGUGAAUUUUCAUCUCCAUCAGCUCAGCUAAAUGAUAGCACUCUGGAAAUUGAAAAUGUGUUAUCGAAAAAAUAUCCAAGGGGACUCCAUUUGCAGAACUCUAAAGAACUCAAAAACCCUGAAAAUUCAGUACAGACAGCACAGAAACUUGUGGGUUCAGGCACCUCAGAGUCCAUAGGCCUCUGCACUGUAACACUAGAACCAACUUGCUCGAAAAAUGAGUCACUGAAGUUGGCUCUCAAGUCAGCAAAGGUCCUGAGUAACUGUCAGCUUGGAACAAAUUCUGCACAAAUGAUUCUGAAGAGGCCGCUUAAGAAGAGUGUCUGCCAAAAUCGUGAUUCUAGUGAAGACAGUGACAAUGAAAAUACAGGUAGAAGGAAGCCUCCUGGAGGCCCAGAAAGGGAAAGAGAGUGUAACCUGCUUUGGCGGAAGGACAUGUACAGUAACAAAAGGAGCAACAGUGAAUUGGUUCUUCACAUGAAGCAAAGAGGAAAAGAGCCUAAUUUUAAAGCAAUUGGCACUGAUUUAUCAGUGGAGAAGCAUCCCAGACCUUCCUCUAUUGUGAGUGUUCUCACUUCUCCAAGCCACACAGCACCUACAUUAGGUGUAUCCUAUUCUCAUCUACAGGAGAAUGAGAGUGAUUCUGAAGUGUGGGCCGAUAGUCCCCUGCCUCUGUCUGAAAGGCUGAAACUGAGACAACAGAGCAGUUAGAUCGUCUUUGCAUUUCCUGAAGAGACCGAAAUAAAGUUUGAUUGAUUGAUUCUACAGCCAACUCUGACCAGCCAAGGAAGCCCACAGCUAUCCAUCUGGUAGAGUGAGCCCAGGUUAACUAACACAAAAUCAGAUCCUAUGCUGCCUAGAAAGCCACCCCCAAAGGUGAGAUGGCUCUCCAGAGUGUCAUUCCUUGAGACAUGAUGAGCUAUGUAUAGGAGCGUAUUCCAAAGCCCUGGAGAAGCCGCAGAGAAGCCCAGUCACAAGUCACCACCAAACAAGUCUGUGGCAACCAUAACCGAACCUCUGCAGAUGAUCUUAAUGGCUGACAGGCUGACAGAAAAGGGAGUGGUGCUCUCUUAAGUAUCCUGUAGCCAAGCCAUUGAGGGCUUUAUAGCCAUCAUGAAACCCUCCACAUCAAUGCAGCCCUACUUUUCUAAUAUUUGCAAAAUGCCCUGCCAUUCUUUUCCAUUUCAAAUGGAAUUCCCCAAACGCUCUGGAACAAAGUGUGAACCUGAGGAAGUGAAAGGCUCACGGACAAAGAAAUCAGCAAGGAAGUGGUUAGAAUUUUCUAAGACAUCUGCCAGAAUACUAACUGCUGCAUCAAGAACUUUAUUGGUUGUACUUCUAGUCUGUUUGCUCUGGAGUAGGACGAUGAAACAUCUUCUAUAAUAGGGUAAUAAGCUAUUUUGCAACAUUGAAAACAACAACGCCAGGCAGAAUGUUACAAUCAGGCAUUUAUAUGGAAAGGAGCAGACAGAAGAACCUAUCACAGAAGACAUUCAGUCCUUGUUUUCUGUGGAUUGGUUUACAAUAUACUGUAAUGAUACACCACCAAAUGUUGCAUGAAGUCUUCCUUAUACUCUCUAACCAAGGAAGCUGGUGAUGACUAGACAAAGGAAAUUAGACGGCUGUGAAAUCACUAAAGAUUGCUAUGCAGACUGAAUACAAGGAAGGCUUAUUGGCAAUAGAUAUGCAUGUGGCCUUAAUGGAAUCCACAUGUUUUUCGACUUAAUUGCCACUCAGUCACUUCACUCAUCAAGCUCUGCUUACAUUCAGCUAAUUUGUCUUUGCUUGUAUGCUCUGUUUGCUGCAGUAAUGGUGUGGUGAGUGAGAUAAGACUUUUUUUUUAAAGCGAGAAAUGCAGAGGAAAAAUUCUUGUUUAAGUUUCUCUCCCCCACUCCCCUUGCAAAUUGUAGGUUUGUCUGAUCAGAGGUUUUUCUAUUGUGCUUGAUAGCUCUACAUUACAUUUAUUUAUUGUUGCCAUUUUCAAAUCUGGUGGGAAAUCUUUAAUCUAUUUAUCUGAAAUAUGGUUGUUUUCUAGACACCAUUUCAGAAUUAAUUGGAUCAGGGCAAAGAGAUUCCAGAAGUGGAUAGGCAAGACUCUCAGCAAGGCCUGCUAAAGAAUAUUCAAGAUUAAAAUGCAAGAAAAAAGCAGAGUACAGUAUAUUCAUUCAUUUAAAAUAUUUAUAUCUCCCUUUCAGUAUGAUACUGCUUGGGGGAGCUCACAAAAAUGAUAAAACAGCGUUUAUAAAUUAAUAAAAUUUAGUUAAAAACUAAACUUAGCUAAAACCAGAUCUACAGAUUAAAAACCUACUGGAGAGAAGACAAGAGUAUCUGAAGAGCAUUUUUGUCACUUUUUUGUGCCACAGAAGAAAGUCAUUUAUUUCUCAGCAUAACCUGCUUCACAGGGUUGUUGCAAAGAUAAAUAUAACCUGCUCUGGGCUAAAUAAUCUGCAAAGAUAAGUUAUUCCCCCUCUCAUACAUUUUUUUAAAUGGAAAGCAAUCUCUGCCUUUGGCAUGUGCAUUUAAUACAUAGACGCAUUUAACUGUUUAAAGCAAUACUCUCUUGAUGUGCAGAACCGGUGAUUUAGCCAGUGAUAUAAGUUCUCAUGAGGAAGACUCACGUUAUUUUAUUUUAAUUCAGUUGUUGUUGUUUUUAAUGGACCUCUUUCUUCUCUCAUUCCAGCAGGACCCAAAGCAGUACAUGUCCUUCUGGAUCAAUAAAAGAUCAAUAACAUCCAAAUUGAUUUUUUAAAAACCCACAAAAGCAAAACAUUAAAAAACACCCUACAAAAUUAAGUAAAAGCAGCAGGAGUCACCUAGCAGCCAAAAAAACAAGAACUCUAACAUAAUCAAAGUGUUAUGAAACAAGUUUUCACUGAGCGUCUAAUGUUCUCUUGGGAGGGAGUUGGACUAGAAGACUUCCAAGGUUCCCGCCAACUCUAAAAUGCUCUGACUGGAUGAGAACCUGCCCAGCUGGCCACCACAGGGAAGGAGUUCUGGCUGGCACCACCACUAAAAAGAUCCUGCUCCUAGAAGCUUCCUUCUGAGCUUUAAUGUGGUCUGAAACACAGGCAGGUAUAGUCUAAGGCACCUCAGCCCUCCCUAAAUGACGCCUCAUAAUUCAUUCUAUAUGCCGACAUACAUUAUUUGAUUCAGGUAUAGAAUGCAUCAUUUGCAGUGUAAAUGGAGCCAGUCUUGUGGCUGACACCCUGAUUAAAUUACUCAAUAAUAGUACUCAGAAAUUACUGUAAAAGACAUUCCUCUAGCAAAUUUAGUCAGGGUGUCAGCCAGUGUUACCAGAUGCUGUUUCUUCCAGUCCAGUUCUCAGAAUUGCUCUGACCAGGCUAAGAAUGCAGCAAAUGCCAUUCACUGUUUAGGUGGUCAUUUCACAAAAACUUUGUAUGAGUCUUGUGUCUAUCCUUGGACUAGUGGGCAGCGCUGUCCUUAGGGCAUAGCAAGCAGGGUGACUGCCCUGGGUUCCACUCUUUUAGCAUCCAUUAGAAUUAUCUGGAAGGGGGGGCCCCGUACUGGCUGAUUUGCUCCAGGCCCUGCCCGCGGCCAGAGCUCUCCAAGAACAGCCCUGCUAGUGGCUCUGUAGACUCAUUACCUCUGUCACUGCACCAUUUCCUCAGCAGCUGCUUUAACAUUUUUAGAUUCCCUUUUGGAGGGGAAAGCCUACGAGUCUGAUCUAUAGAAGACUGACCUUCUACUGACCUCUCAUGACAAGGCAACUCUGCUGAAGGUGGCAGGAUUUGCUUGAGCUGCUGGGGGUUGAGUAAGCUUUUAAAGUUAUCUUGUCGCAUAAUGGAGUGAUUUUCCCCACCUUUUAAAAUAUGUAACGUUCCUUUUAAAUUUUAUGUAUGUGUACAUAUAUUUCCCUUUGUCCUUUUAAAUAUGAAUUUUAUCUGUGAGUGAUUUUUUAAUUGUACACAAGGGGUGUGUGUGGCUUCUGCUGCUUUGUGUAUGACCUAUGGUUGGGACAAUAAAAUAAUUUACCAACCUA